Molecule: small RNA, 771 nt
Filed under: Pan troglodytes (chimpanzee)
Lineage: Eukaryota; Metazoa; Chordata; Mammalia; Primates; Hominidae
Description: retained intron
Source: RNAcentral
AUAUAGGCCAAGGUUGAGGCCUAGUCCAGAAGAGGUCUCAGAGGACCCUGGCUAGAGUUUGCUCAACGAGAGAAUCUUUUUCUCCCCCGUACCCCUGCCAGGAUUUGUGUGAGCUCCACCAUCUGGACAUCUCCUAUAAUCGCCUGCAUUUGGUGCCAAGAAUGGGACCCUCAGGGGCUGCUCUGGGGGUCCUGAUACUGCGAGGCAAUGAGCUUCGGAGCCUGCAUGGCCUAGAGCAGCUGAGGAAUCUGCGGCACCUGGAUUUGGCAUACAACCUGCUGGAAGGACACCGGGAGCUGUCACCACUGUGGCUGCUGGCUGAGCUCCGCAAGCUCUACCUGGAGGGGAACCCUCUUUGGUUCCACCCUGAGCACCGAGCAGCCACUGCCCAGUACUUGUCACCCCGGGCCAGGGAUGCUGAUACUGGCGUGAGUGAUCGUCCUGUGUCCACUCUGCUUCCCCUUUCCUGCCCAGUCCUCCCCGACCUUGCACCCUCUUGCCAUCCCUGGGUGAGGGGCCAAGGACCUGGACCCUGCUUACUGUGUUCUUAAUACCUGGAACUCAGCAGGAUGGGCCUACCACAUACUCCCUCCCCCUUUUUGUCUUUGCUCAGUUCCUUCUCGAUGGCAAGGUCUUGUCGCUGACAGAUUUUCAGGUCGGUGUGGUUGGGGGGCGAGGACUGUUGGGGGAAGACAUGAAGGGAGGGCGCUGGGGAGAGAACAGAGGGCUGGCUGGUGACAGGGUCUUCCUGGUCAGUGGAAAGUAGGGUCC